AGAGUUUGAUCCUGGCUCAGAAUGAACGCUGGCGGCGUGCCUAACACAUGCAAGUCGCGCGCGAAAGGGGCAACCCGAGUAGAGCGGCGAACGGGUGAGUAACACGUGGGUAACCUGCCUUGGAGUGGGGGAUAACCUGGGGAAACUCGGGCUAAUACCGCAUACGUUCACGGAGCUCCGGCUUCGUGAGGAAAGCUGACCUCUGCUUGCAAGUUAGCGCUCCUAGAGGGACCCGCGCCGGAUUAGCUAGUUGGUGAGGUAACGGCCCACCAAGGCGACGAUCCGUAGCCGGCCUGAGAGGGCGAUCGGCCACACUGGAACUGAGACACGGUCCAGACUCCUACGGGAGGCAGCGGUGAGGAAUCUUGCGCAAUGGGCGAAAGCCUGACGCAGCAACGCCGCGUGGAGGAUGAAGGUCUUCGGAUUGUAAACUCCUGUCAGAGGGGACGAAGGCUUGUGGGCUAAUCACCGCAAGCUUGACGGUACCCUCAGAGGAAGCCACGGCUAACUCUGUGCCAGCAGCCGCGGUAAUACAGAGGUGGCAAGCGUUAUUCGGAAUUAUUGGGCGUAAAGGGCGCGUAGGCGGCUUGGCAAGUCCAGGGUGAAAUCCCUCAGCUCAACUGAGGAACUGCCCUGGAAACUGCUUGGCUCGAGGCCGGGAGAGGGUAGCGGAAUUCCCAGUGUAGCGGUGAAAUGCGUAGAUAUUGGGAGGAACACCGGUGGCGAAGGCGGCUACCUGGACCGGUUCUGACGCUGAUGCGCGAAAGCGUGGGGAGCAAACAGGAUUAGAUACCCUGGUAGUCCACGCUGUAAACGAUGGGUGCUCGGUGU
RNAcentral lists this ribosomal RNA (831 nucleotides) under uncultured Acidobacteriota bacterium. Its description in RNAcentral is "bacterial SSU rRNA". It matches the Rfam family "Bacterial small subunit ribosomal RNA", at positions 8 to 823 of the family's 1533-position model. The record is from RNAcentral. Lineage: Bacteria; Pseudomonadati; Acidobacteriota.